Lycium barbarum (goji berry) is the source of this 2431-nucleotide long non-coding RNA. RefSeq lists it as uncharacterized. Lineage: Eukaryota; Viridiplantae; Streptophyta; Magnoliopsida; Solanales; Solanaceae. The transcript is spliced from 6 exons. The record is from RefSeq and is a predicted model, not a curated record.
AUAAUUAUAUACUGAUUCACCCCUGCUCCUUAUGAUGUUUGUGUAACAUCGUGUUUCUAAUUUUUCUAAUUGCAGAAUAAGAUUGAUCCUAAGGUUAAGAAGGGAAGAAGCAUCUUUAAGAAAGGAGGCAAUUGUUAAGUAGGUUUUGCAGUUAAAAUAUAUUUUAAUUGCUGAUAAAUCAGGAAAGAGAUUAUUGAAAAUGAACAAAAAGACUCACGAAACAAUUCAACUAAUAACAUAUUGGGGGGUUCAAAUAUAAUGGUACAUCAUUAACAACAAGGUUCAAAUGACAAUACAAAUUGACCCACCUUAUCCGCAUCCCCAAUUAUAUACAAGCUUGAUGGAAUACGAAAAUGAUCAUGACAGAAUAUAGAUAAUGUAAGGUGGGUAAGGUAGAUCAGAAAUUUUAUUUAUGUUUUUUUCUUUUCGCGGUGGUAUUACAGCCACAAUCUUGGUAAGGUACAACUUUUUUUAUUUCUAUUCUAGAGUUAUCUAUGCCUUUUGCUCUUUUCUUAAUUGAUUCUGCAAUGCACUUUUUUUUUUAAUAAUUGGGUGUUAAAUUUCUUGGUUCCGUCCAAAUUGCCUCUGGAAGAACAUUCUCUGAGGUUGCCGCAUUUGGGAGAGUUGAGACAGCUGCACUAGGGAUAUUGUUCUGGGGAUUUUUCCCUCUUCUUCGCCGUCUUGAGCUUUUGGCUCUUUUGUUAACUAAUUUUGCAGAUGCAUAUAUUUAUUCACUAUUCUGUGUUAAUUUUAUAGCAGUCAAAUUGUAUUAAGAGGAUGACAUAGUCUUGAUAGACGAGACUCGCAGCGGAGUCAACUCUAAGCUAGAAGAUUGGAGAUAAACGUUAGAGUCUAAAGGAUUCAAGUUGAGUAGGAUCAAAACAGAGUACUUGGAGUGCAGGUUCAGUGGUGUACCUCAGGAGGCUGACGUGGAAGUGAAGCUUGGUACCCAGGUCAUUCAAAAGAAAGGAAGUUUCAAGUAUCUUGGGUCUAUUUUACAAGAAAAUGGGGAUAUUGACGAUGAUGUCACACAUCGUAUUGGUGCAGGAUGGUUGAAAUGGAGGCUCACUUCCGGAGUGCUGUAUGACAAGAAAGUGCCACCAAAACUUAAGGGCAAGUUCUACAAAGUGGUGGUUAGACCGACUCUGUUGUACGGGAUAGAGUGUUGGCCAGUCAAGAACUCUCACGUGCAAAAGAUGAAAGUCGCGGAAAUGAGAAUGCUGCGGUGGAUGUGUGGGCACACUAGGAGAGGUAGGAUCAGGAAUGAGGACAUUAGGGACAAGGUGGGAGUGGCAUCGGUGGAGGACAAGAUGUGGGAAGCGAGGUUGAGAUGAUUUGGGCAUGUGAAGAGGAGAGGCAUAGAUGCCCCAGUGCGGAGGUGUGAGAGGUUGGCUUUGGACGGUUUUAGGAGAGGUAGAGGAAGGCCAAAGAAAUAUUGGGGAGAGGUGAUUAGGCAGGACUUGGCGUUGUUUCAGAUUACCGAGGACAUGACCUUAGAUAGGAAGUUGUGGAGGCUCAGAUUAGGGUAGAAGGCUAGUAGGUAGUCUCGCUUUUCUAUCGCACUAGUAGGCGUAGCUUUGCUCUACUUUUUAUUGCCCUAUGUUUCCCCUGCUUUUAUGUGUUGGGUCUUGUCUCUCCAUGCUAUUUUAUCAUGACUUCUUUGCCCUUGUUUUUUUUCAUUUUCGCAUUGCUUUGAUUUGCCUGUCAGUAUCUGACUUUUGUUUUCUUGUUUACUUUUGAGCCGAGGGUCUUUCGGAAACAACCUCCCUACCAAGGUGGGGGUAAGGUCUGCGUACAUUUAAUCCUCCCCAGACCCCACACUGUGGGAUUCAACUGGGUAUGUUGUUGUUGUUGUUGUUGUUGCUGCAAUGAGAAUAGAGAAAGGCUUAUGUGAACAAAAUUUCCAAAGGGAAUGUGUUUCUAAUGCAUUGUAAGUGUGGUUGAUGGAUUUUGCAUUCGUGCUAGCUUCCACUGGGUUUACAUGAAGCUGUACAAUGGAGAAUACAACAAGUUAUAGUUUAUCUACAAGCAAGCAUCUCCAUGGCUUUUGCAACUGUUGUCACUCUUAAUCCAUUAUCUUUUAAUGAGGUUUGGUCAUGAAAUUUUUGGGUUGAUAUUUUAGGAACAAGCACUACCAAAUUGAAGCCCCUUCACGACCCAAGAAUUGGAUGAACAUUAACUCAAGGCAGAGAAGGAGCCUAUAAACCCUUCGAUACAGACUACUGCUUUAUCAGAGUGGAGCGUACUAUGGAGUCAUAUAUCUUUGGUUCUAUGCCACCUUCUUUUGGUAGACAUUAUGGUGAGUUUCAUUUUCUUUUGUAUUUCAAAAGACGUAGACUCAUUCACUUCUUUGUGGUUGUAUAUAUUUUGCCUUCACAAUGUCGAAUACAUUGUAAUUGCAAAGUUUCAUGAAAUGGACUUUGCCACCUCC